AACACAUGCAAGUCGCACGAGAAAGGGCUUCGGCCUGAGUAAAGUGGCGCACGGGUGAGUAACACGUGACUAACCUACCCUCGAGUGGGGAAUAACCUAGAGAAAUCUGGGCUAAUACCGCAUAACACUUACGAGUCAAAGCAGCAAUGCGCUUGAGGAGGGGGUCGCGGCAGAUUAGCUAGUUGGUGAGGUAAUGGCUCACCAAGGCGAUGAUCUGUAUCCGGCCUGAGAGGGCGCACGGACACACUGGAACUGAAACACGGUCCAGACUCCUACGGGAGGCAGCAGUGGGGAAUUUUGCGCAAUGGGGGAAACCCUGACGCAGCAACGCCGCGUGGAGGAUGAAAUCCCUUGGGAUGUAAACUCCUUUCGACUGGGAAGAUAAUGACGGUACCAGGAGAAGAAGCCCCGGCUAACUUCGUGCCAGCAGCCGCGGUAAUACGAGGGGGGCGAGCGUUGUUCGGAAUUAUUGGGCGUAAAGGGUGCGUAGGCGGUUUGACAAGUCUUAUGUGAAAUCUCUGGGCUCAACCCAGAGUCUGCAUGGGAAACUGUCGGGCUUGANUGUGGGA
This 569-nucleotide ribosomal RNA is filed under the name uncultured bacterium. Its description in RNAcentral is "bacterial SSU rRNA". It matches the Rfam family "Bacterial small subunit ribosomal RNA", at positions 50 to 653 of the family's 1533-position model. The record is from RNAcentral.